Molecule: ribosomal RNA, 467 nt
Filed under: uncultured bacterium
Lineage: Bacteria
Description: partial 16S ribosomal RNA
Rfam family: Bacterial small subunit ribosomal RNA
Source: RNAcentral
ACGAACGCUGGCGGCGUGCUUAACACCUGCAAGUCGAACGGAAAGGCCCUGCUUUUGUGGGGUGCUCGAGUGGCGAACGGGUGAGUAACACGUGAGUAACCUGCCCUUGAUUUUGGGAUAACUUCAUGAAACUGGGGCUAAUACCGGAUAGGAGCUCCUGCUGCAUGGUGGGGGUUGGAAAGUUUCGGCGGUUGGGGAUGGACUCGCGGCUUAUCAGCUUGUUGGUGGGGUAGUGGCUUACCAAGGCUUUGACGGGUAGCCGGCCUGAGAGGGUGACCGGCCACAUUGGGACUGAGAUACGGCCCAGACUCCUACGGGAGGCAGCAGUGGGGAAUAUUGCACAAUGGGCGGAAGCCUGAUGCAGCAACGCCGCGUGCGGGAUGACGGCCUUCGGGUUGUAAACCGCUUUCGCCUGUGACGAAGCGUGAGUGACGGUAAUGGGUAAAGAAGCACCGGCUAACUACGUG